This 468-nucleotide ribosomal RNA is filed under the name uncultured bacterium. Its description in RNAcentral is "partial 16S ribosomal RNA". It matches the Rfam family "Bacterial small subunit ribosomal RNA", at positions 28 to 507 of the family's 1533-position model. The record is from RNAcentral.
GACGAACGCUGGCGGCGUGCUUAACACAUGCAAGUCGAACGGAAAGGCCCUGCUUUUUUGGUGUGCUCGAGUGGCGAACGGGUGAGUAACCCUUGAGUAACCUGCCCUUGACUUUGGGAUAACUUCAGGAAACUGGGGCUAAUACCGGUUAGGAGCUCCUUCUGCAUGGUGGGUGUUGGACAGUUUGGGCGGAUGGGGAUGGACUCGCGGCUUAUCAGCUUGUUGGUGGGGUAGUGGCUUACCACGGCUUUGACGGGUAGCAGGCCUGAGAGGGUGACCGGCCACAUUGGGACUGAGAUACGGCACAGACUCCUAAGGGAGGCAGCAGUGGGGAAUAGUGCACAAUGGGCGGAAGCCUGAUGCAGCAACGCCGCGUGCGGGAUGACGGCCUUCGGGUUGUAAACCGCUUUCGCCUGUGACGAAGCGUGAGUGAAGGUAAUGGGUAAAGAAGCACCGGCUAACUACGUG